Molecule: unclassified non-coding RNA, 141 nt
Filed under: Crithidia fasciculata
Lineage: Eukaryota; Euglenozoa; Kinetoplastea; Trypanosomatida; Trypanosomatidae
Source: RNAcentral
AAAUGUUCUAAAUAACAAAAAGGACAAUAGGGGUUUAAUAUGAGAGAACGUAAUGUUUUUUUUUUUUUUUUUUUUUUGUUAUUUAGAAAUUUAUGUUGUCUUUUAACGUCAGGAUGUCUAUUAAGAGUGUAUGGUGUUGGA